AGGACGAACGCUGGCGGCGUGCUUAACACAUGCAAGUCGAACGAGGUCCAACCACUCGCAAGAGUGGGGAAGACCUAGUGGCGAACGGGUGAGUAACACGUGAGGAACGUGCCCCGGAGACCGGGAUAACAGCGGGAAACCGCUGCUAAUACCGGAUACCUUCUUUGAUCGCAUGGUCAGCUGAAGAAAUGGAUUCCGCUCCGGGGAGCGGCCUCGCGGUCUAUCAGCUUGUUGGUGGGGUAACGGCCUACCAAGGCUUCGACGGAUAGCUGGUCUGAGAGGACGAUC
This 288-nucleotide ribosomal RNA is filed under the name uncultured soil bacterium. RNAcentral describes it as "partial 16S ribosomal RNA". It matches the Rfam family "Bacterial small subunit ribosomal RNA", at positions 26 to 305 of the family's 1533-position model. The record is from RNAcentral.